AUUGAACGCUGGCGGAAUGCUUUACACAUGCAAGUCGAACGGUAGAGGGGGCAACCCCUCGAGAGUGGCGAACGGGUGAGUAAUAUAUCGGAACGUGCCCAGUCGUGGGGGAUAACGUAGCGAAAGUUACGCUAAUACCGCAUACGAUCUAAGGAUGAAAGCGGGGGAUCGCAAGACCUCGCGCGAUUGGAGCGGCCGAUAUCAGAUUAGGUAGUUGGUGGGGUAAAGGCUCACCAAGCCCACGAUCUGUAGCUGGUCUGAGAGGACGACCCGCCACACUGGAACUGAGACACGGUCCAGACUCCUACGGGAGGCAGCAGUGGGGAAUUUUGGACAAUGGACGCAAGUCUGAUCCAGCCAUUCCGCGUGCAGGAUGAAGGCCCUCGGGUUGUAAACUGCUUUUGUACGGAACGAAAAGGUCUCUCUUAAUACGGGGGACUCAUGACGGUACCGUAAGAAUAAGCACCGGCUAACUACGUGCCAGCCGCCGCCGUAA
Molecule: ribosomal RNA, 496 nt
Filed under: uncultured bacterium
Lineage: Bacteria
Description: partial 16S ribosomal RNA
Rfam family: Bacterial small subunit ribosomal RNA
Source: RNAcentral